This 224-nucleotide unclassified non-coding RNA is filed under the name Hevea brasiliensis (rubber tree). The record is from RNAcentral. Lineage: Eukaryota; Viridiplantae; Streptophyta; Magnoliopsida; Malpighiales; Euphorbiaceae.
GUUAGUGUCAUCAUCACCUGUUAAAGAUCAUUGUAAAUAAUUUCAGCUUUUCUGUUAGAAAGAUGGACAAUGGGCCUCUUGUUGAUGUUUAAGUGUAGUCUAUGGAAACAGCUCUGAAAACAUAAUCAGAAGAAACUACAUAAUAAUAAUAAUAAAGAGCCUCUGGAAGAUAGGUUCAUUUCAUAAGAUUAUAUUGAGAAAAGAUUUUGUAACCUACCUUAGGA